RNAcentral lists this long non-coding RNA (1067 nucleotides) under Canis lupus familiaris (dog). RNAcentral describes it as "lncRNA (ENSCAFG00000047596.2)". The record is from RNAcentral. Lineage: Eukaryota; Metazoa; Chordata; Mammalia; Carnivora; Canidae.
AGUCCUUGAUGUCCUACCAAGGAAGACGUCCUCACAUCUUGCAGCAGGAACCCAUUGAUACGGCGCCCACCUUGACUUCCGAAUGGGACAGCGCAUCCUCAGAAGCAACGGUGAUGGCGGUGAUGGCGCCUGCAUCACACAUCGAAGACGCUUGUGCUGAUAGCUCAAGCCCUUGAAAACCCAGCCAAGGUCAGUGUCGUAUCCUCCAGGAAUCCUGGCCGGCAAGAUGUGCUGGAAGUUGCUGCCGCCACCAGAGCCACCUCUGUUGCCGGCCGCCCCAUCCUUGGACCUUCGCCAAGCCAGCCCAGCCAGUCCUCCGAGGGCCGCGACUCCCGCCGUCACUAGUCCCGCUGCUGACCAGCAGCGGCCCCGCACAGGUGCGGUCACCUGUGUCACACGGAUGCUCCUCGGGGCCACGUGGACAUUUCCAGCCCAGGCCGCAGGGGGGCGCUGGCCCAGAGCCUCUGCGCAUGUGCAGCCCCUCCCGAGGCCCACUCGGGGAGGAGGCCGCGCGGGUCUCUGCUGCAGAGAUCCUGAAGGGAUGGAACAGGAAGAGCAGGCUGCUGCCGCGGGCCACGACGGAGAAGGAAUUUCAGGGCUUAUUUUAACAAACAAAUCAAACCACACCUCGUUAAAGUUCUGAACAUUUCCCAUUGCAAGCAAGGAGGAGCUCUGAAGAGGCCUGACCAGAGGGAAAGAGCAGCCAAAACACAACAGCAGAGUGCACACAGUGUACAACAGAAACACUUCCUGAAGUUUCAGGCCCUGGAUAAUGUAUGAUCCCUUUUUAAUAUAGCAUUACUCUUGGGUACAGGAAACAUAAGAAACUUUCAAAAUAACCAAAGACAGAAACUUAGGCAAAAUAACAAGAUGGAGGAAGAGCAAGAUGGCGGAAGAGUAGGGUCUCCAAAUCACCUGUCUCCACCAAAUUACCUAGAAAACCUUCCAAUCAUCCUGAAAAUCUAUGAAUUCGGCCUGAGAAUUAAAGAGAGAACACCUGGAAUGCUACAGUGAGAAGAGUUCGCGCAUCUAUCAAGGUAGGAAGACGGGGAAAAAGAAGUAAAGAA